RNAcentral lists this ribosomal RNA (456 nucleotides) under uncultured bacterium. RNAcentral describes it as "bacterial SSU rRNA". It matches the Rfam family "Bacterial small subunit ribosomal RNA", at positions 349 to 793 of the family's 1533-position model. The record is from RNAcentral.
CAGCAUGGGGGAAUAUUGCACAAUGGGCGCAAGCCUGAUGCAGCCAUGCCGCGUGUAUGAAGAAGGACCUUCGGGUUGUAAAGUACUUUCAGCAGUGAGGAAGGUGGGUAUGUUAAUAGCAUAUUCAUUUGACGUUAGCUGCAGAAGAAGCACCGGCUAACUCCGUGCCAGCAGCCGCGGUAAUACGGAGGGUGCGAGCGUUAAUCGGAAUUACUGGGCGUAAAGCGCAUGCAGGUGGUUUGUUAAGUCAGAUGUGAAAGCCCGGGGCUCAACCUCGGAAUUGCAUUUGAAACUGGCAAACUAGAGUACUGUAGAGGGGGUAGAAUUUCAGGUGUAGCGGUGAAAUGCGUAAGAGAUCUGAAGGAAUACCGGUGGCGAAGGCGGCCCCCUGGACAGAUACUGACACUCAGAUCGCGUAAAGCGUGGGGAGCAAACAGGAUUAGAUACCCUCGGUAG